CGCGGGUUCCCCUUGCAACAGGUGCCGGGCGCUCCUCGAGGUUUGCCCGCCAGGGGGGUCUGCCCUGCUCCACACCUGAGAGCCAGGCCAAGGCUUCAAGGCAAGCCUCUGCUCAAGCAGCACCUGGCUUAUAGCUAAGCACAGAGUUAUUCCCUUCUCACCAUGGACAGGGACAUUCCACACAUCUCCGAACCAGACCAAGGCUUCAAGGCAAGCUUCUGGUCUAGCAACCCCUGCCCUGUGCCUCACACAUCUGAGAGCCAGACCAAGGCUUCUAGCAACAGGUCUAGCCUUAAUAGCCAAGCAAGAAAAGAGUUCUUCCCUGCUCACCCAGGAUAGGGACACUUUGCACAUCUCAGAUCCAGAGCAAGGCUUCGAGGCAAGCUUCUGGUCAAGCAGUACAUGCCUUAAUAGUUGGAUCUCAGACAUAGAGCAGGUACAGGGAAUUCUGCCCUACUCCAUACCUGCACCUCACACACCUGAGAGCCAGACCAAGGCUUCAGAGCAAGCUUCUGGUCUAGCAGCAGCUGGCUUAAUAUUAAAUGGUUGGGCUUCAGUGCAGGCCCAGGGAGUUCUGCCUUACGCCAUACCUGUGCCUCACGCCUGAGAGCCAGACCAAGGCUUCAAGGUAAGCUUCAGGUUAAGCAGCACCUGCCUUAAUAGUAAAGGGUUGGGACUCAGAGCAGGUCCAGGGAGUUAUGCCCUACUAAAUACCUGCGCAAGGCAAGCUCCUUGUCAAACAGCACCUGCCUAAUAGCAAAACAAAGAGUUCUUCCCUGCUCACGCAGGACAGGGACACUCCACACACCUGAGAGCCAGACCUAGGCUUCAGGUCUCGCAACAUCUGUCUGCUUUAAUAGCCAAGCAAGCAAAGAUUUAUUCCCUGCUCGCCCAGGACACUCCACACAUCUCAGAUCCAGACCAAGGUCCAAGGCAAGCUUCUGGUCAAGCAGCACCUGCCUUAAUAGUAAAGGGGUGGGCCUCAGACUCAGAGCAAUAGUAAAGGGGUGGGCCUCAGACACAGAGCAGGUCCAGGGAGUUCUGCCCUACUCCAUACCUGCGCCUCAUACCUGGAGCCAGACCAAGACUUCAAGGCAAGCCUCUGGUCAAACAGCACCAGCCUAAUAGCAAAGCAAAGAGUUCUUCCCUGUUUAACCAGGACAGAGACACUUCACACAUUUCAGAUCCAGACCAAAUCUUCAAGGCAAGCUUCUGGUCAAGCAACACCUUCCUUAAUAGUAAAGGGUUGGUCCAGAGCAGGUCCAGGGAGUUCUGCCUUACUCCAUACCUGUGCCUCACAUGCCUGAGAGCCAGACCAAGGCUUCAAUGCAAGCUUCUGGUCUAGCAGCAUCUGUCUUAAUGGAACCUCUGGUGGCACAAUGGGUUAAACCCUUAUGCCAGCAGGAUUGGUGACCAAAAGGUCAGUGGUUUGAAUCCAUGCAGCAAGGUGAGCUCCCGUCUGUCAGCUCCAGCUUCCCAUGCAGGAACAUGAGAGAAGCCUCCCACAGGACAUUGUCACUUGGGCAGCGUCCCUACAGGUGGCCAAUUCUCUCACACCAGAAGCAACUUGCAGUUUCUCAAGUUGCUCCUGACCCAAAAAAAACCAAAAACCCUGCCUUAAUAGUAAAGCAAAGAGUUCUUUCCUGCUCGCCCGGGACAGGGACACUUCACACAUCUCAGAUCCAGACCAAGGCUUCAAAGCAAGCUUCUGGUCAAGCAGCACCUGCCUUAAUAGUAAAGGUUGGGCCUCAGACUCAGAGCAGGUCCAAGGAAUUCUGCCCUACUCCAUACCUGUGCCUCGCGCACCUGGGUGCCAGACCAAGGCUUCAAGGCAAGCUUUGGUCUAGCAGCACCUGCCCUAAUAUUUAUUUAUUUAUUUACGCCAUUUAUAUCCUGCCCUUCUCACCCCGAAGGGGACUCAGGGUGGCUUACAUGGGUGGGAUUAUUUCAUGCCCGAACAACAACAAUUAAAAGUAAUUAAGCAACAAUUUAAAACAAUGUUAAAUCAACAUACGUAAACAUUAGACGACUAUUGUGCAUAGAUCCAAAGCCAGAUAGUCAUAUUCACCCAUCCAAAGCCCAUUCCAACUAUAUUGCACAGGUAUUUAGGCUGGACCAAAUGCUUGCUCCCAAAUCAAGUUUUCACUUGUUUGCAAAAUGACAGGAGGAAAGGGGCUGAUCUAAUCCCACCAGGGGAUGGAGUUCCACAAUAAUAGCAAAGCAAAUUGCCCAGGACAGGGACACUCUGCACAUCUCAGAUCCAGACAAGGCUUCAAGGGAAGCUUCUGGUCAAGCAGCACCUGCCUUAAUAGUAAAGGAUUGGGCCUCAAAGCAGGUCCAAGGAGUUCUGCCCUACCCCAUACCCAUGUCCCAUACAUCUGAGAGCCAGACCAAGGCUUCAAGGCAAGUGUUUGGUCAAGCAGCACCUGCCUUAAAAGCUAAGCGUAAUAAUAUAAUAAUAAAACUUUAUUUGUAUUCCAUCCUAUCCCCCGAAGGGGGCUCAGGGCGGAUUCCAACAUAUGGUACAACAGAAAACAUUCAAUGCCUCUGUAAAAACAAACCAACACUGACAUAAAAUCCCAGAAAAACCCACAUAUGAAAAACCCCACAUAUAAAAACAACAUUAAAACCUCAUGCCAAAUUAAACCUAACAUUAACUAAUUAAACCAAACAUGGUCAAACAAAAAUUAUAUGAUGACUUAGAAUCAAAACAAACAUCCACAUUAAUCUACAGAGCCAACUAGAGUUGACAAAGUUACGGUAUGUGGGUUAGUUGUGUGGCCAAUGGUGGUAACUGGGCUGAUAUGAACUAGCAGAGCCCAAAUAUAAAAUAAUUCUCAACCAGGGACAAGCAAAGGGUUCUUCCCUGCUCACCCAGGACAGGGACACUCCACAUCUCAGAUCCAGACCAAGGCUUCAAGGCAAGCUUCUGGUCAAGCAGCACCUGCCUUCAUAGUAAAGGGUUUGGCCUCAGAGCAGGUCCAAGGAGUUCUUCGCUACUCCAUACCUGAUACAAACCAGGGCUUCUGGUCUAGCAGCACCUAACUUUAUAGUAAAGCACCGAGGUUUAAAAGGGUUGGUCCUCAGAGCAGGUCCAGGGAGUUCUGCCCUAUUCCAUACCUGUACUUCACACAUCUCAGACCCAGACCAAGGUUUCAAGACCUUGUUUUAAUAACAAAGUACAGAAUUUCCUGCAUCUUGAAGAGGUUGUGCCUCUGAGCAUGUCCAGAGAGUUUUGCCCUGCUGGUUGACCACAGGACAACUGAACUCCACAGAUAUGACGUCCAGACCAAGGGUUCAAGGCAAGCUUCUGGCUUAGUAACCCAUACAUUGGUAGCAAAGCAUGAUAUUUCCUGCACUUUUGAGAAGUCAGGCCUCUGACCAUAUCCAGAGAGUUUUUCCCUGCUUACCCACCAUAGGAUCUCCACAGAUCUAGGGUGCAUCGACACUGCAGAAUUAAUGCAUUUUGACACCACUUUAGCUGCCAUGACUCAGUGCUAUCAAAUCCUGGGAACUGUAGCUUUGUAAGGUCAUUAGCCUCUUCUGUCAAAAAAUGUUAGUGUCUCACUAAACUACAACUUCCACAAUUGCAUAGCAUUGAGCCAUGAUAGUUAGUUAGUAGUGUCAAACAGCAUUCAUUGUACAGUACAGAUGCAACCUUGUCUGUAUUACCACAAGAGGGCCUCUGAGCAUGGCCAGAGAUUUCUACCUUGCUCACCUACCACAGCUGCAGUUCACACACCUGAGAUCCAGACCAGACCAGCAAUCCAAAAAUUCGUAGCAAAGCAUUGAGUUUCUUGCAGAUUUAAGAGGUUUGUGAAAUGUUACUUGGUACAGGUGAAGAAUCCCUUCCCCAAAAUACUGAAAGCCAGAAGUAUUUGGAAAUUCCCAAUAGAUUUGGGAAUAUUUGGAGGUUGAAUAUGCCUUACCUGGAAUAUGGAAAUACUCAAAUCAUUCAAAAGGGUGGCUGAGAUAAUGACAUCUUUGCUUUCUUGCGGCUCAGCAUACCCAAUUUUAUUUCCUGUGCAAAAGUAUUGAAAAUAUUGUGUAAAAUAAGGCAAUGUGUAGAAGGUGUAUAUGAUACAGAAAUAAAUGAUGUGUUUAGACUUGGGUCCCAUCUCCAGGAUAUCUCACCAUGUAUGUAUGUACAAACACAGGUAUUCCAAAAUACUAUUUAAAAAACCCCAACACUUCUGGUCCCAAGCAUUACACAUAAGGGAGGUUUGACCUGGAAAUAUCAUGGAGAAGGGACUCAAAUCUAAACACAAAAUUCAUUGAUGCUUCAUGUAUCGCAUGUUCAUUUUAUAUACAACAUUUUAUGAAACAAAGUUUGUGUGUCUUGAACCAUCAGAAAGUAAAGGUGUCACUAUCUCAGUCACCCAUGUGGGCGAUUUUGGAGCAUUUGGGGUUUCUGAAUAAAGAAUAUUCAACAGGUUGUACCUUUCUAGUUAGCGGCAGUAGGGAUACAUUAUUUUGGGGAGUACUGCUUGAAACAGGAGAAGACUAGAAAACAGGUAGAAGCAGCUUUCCCUUGAGCAGUGGUUCUCAACCCGUGGCUCCUUCAACUCCCAGAAAUCUUAACAGAUGGUAAACUGGCUGGGAUUUCUGGGAGUUGUAGCCCAAAACACAUGGGGACCCACAGGUUGAGAGCCACUGCCCUUGAGGAAAGACCCAAGGCACCUACAGAUAGGUCUCCAUGCACAAGAGAGGCUGGGUGGGCCUAGCAGUAACUGCCACCGCUGAUUUAUGAUGUAGCGAAAGUAAGUAGAGAUCAGUUCCUUGCAGUCAUAACACUACAACCUUAGUUCUCUAAGUGAAACUAAUUGUAAUAGAAGUUUUUUAAGCAGUCUUUUGUGUUCCUUCCUGCAGUGUGACAUUAUUGUACAGAGUCUGUUGACACAUGAUGCAGUGAUGACAACUGGUUUAGGCAACUUGAAAAGAGAAUUAUUGGACAAAUUCAUCAUGACUGAUAAGUCUAUCAGUGAUAGUUCCCUGUUUAAGCUAUAGCCUGGCAGUGCAAUUGCUGGGAGCCAAAUAGCAGGGCUUGAUGAUUGCCUUUAGUUUUUUCAGAAAGCUCCUAUCUGACUCCUGUCAGGAACAGGAUGCUAGACUUCAUGGGCCAUUUUAGCAGCAUUCUCCUUUCCUUAAGAACUUUCUCAUCUUUCAUAUUCUGCAAACAUUGAGUAUAUAGGAAACCUGCCACAACCAGAUACCUUUUGAUAAUAAGCCUGUUCUUUGAGCAUUGUUGCUACUAGAUGGAGAGCAAGAGACAGGAUUUUCACAGAGCUAACUGUCCAUUAUAAAGCGAAUAUGUGACAGAGGGUGAAAAUCACAGUCUUUCUCUUUUCCAAACAACAGUGUUUUAUUCAUCUUAAAGUCUGACAAGUUGUAUUUGGCAUCCUUUCUGACAUAGUAGGCUGUUAGUUUUGGGAGCAAGGUUUGGUUAAGCUUUGAUGGAAUAUCCUCUUUCAUGACUCUUGGUUAUAUGUAGCUCUGCACUUUUCACAGUACUGAUUUUGAAGAUGACAAUCAGGGUUGGAUUAUAUGGUCCUUGUGGUUCCUUCCGAAUCCUAAGAUCCUAUGAUACUAAAAAGGCAUUGAAUGUUGCACUUCUGCUCUUCCUGGUUACUUUUUAGCAAUUAAGAAAUUGUGGAGGUUGGCUAACCAAAAUAUUAGUAUUAAUAAAAGGCUUAUUGGGCUGUUAUUUAUUUAUUAUGUUUUUAUUAUUCCGAGUUCCCAUCUCCUUCAUUCGCUCACUGGCUUUAUGAUAAAACACUUAAGUUGUUUAACAAAAGCAAAAUGUACAUAAAAGCAGACAUAAAUGAAAACAAAAAUCCCACACAGAAAAAAACAGGGAAAACAGGAAAUUCAAUGAAGAUAACAGAUACACUUAAACACAAUGGAAACAGUCAAUACAAGAAAGCUUUAAAGACCACAGUUAAAAUCACAUAAAUAAAAAGAAACAAUAGAUCUUUCACCUAAAUCCCAGAUUAGAUGUCAAACAUAUGUUGGAAUAAAAUGAUCUUGGCCUUCUGGCAGAAGGACAACAGAAAAGAGGCCAACUCAGACUCUCUCAGCAUUUCUACGCCUGAGAGUGGCCACCCAGAAGGCCUUCUGCUGCAUCUCUCUCCCAUAUGUGUCUCUGAGGGUGGUAGGACUACGCAGAAUAUCAUCUCCCAGAAACCUUAAAGUCUGUGUAGGCUGAUAAGGAAGAAUAUGAGCUUUGAAACAGCCAUAUUACAAAUUGCAUAGAGCAGCCAGCACUUUGAGCUGGAACCGGAAACAGACCAGUAGCUUGUGAAACUGUUAUACCAAAGUAGUCACAUCUCCCUAUAACUUGAUCAAACAGUCUGGACACAGUAUUCUAGACCAGCUGAAAUGACUGAACACUCCUCAGGUGCAACCUCAUGGUAAAGACCUGGCUUUGCGAACAAGCGUUUAAUGAAUAAUUUAUGAUGGCUUUAACUCGGUCCGGACUAAGGUUUACGUGCAAGGUUUAUGUGGACGAAUGGAUUAAGUAUUUUAUUAUACUGUUUUAAAUGUAUUUAUUGGAUUGUUUUAAAUUGAUUGUUUUAAUUGCUAUGUUUUAUUUUUCUACUGUAUUGUGAGCCGCCCUGAGUCCCUUCGGGUGAGAAGGGCGGCAUAUAAAUGAUGGAAAUAAAUAAAUAAAUAAAUAGAG
Anolis carolinensis (green anole) is the source of this 6679-nucleotide long non-coding RNA. RefSeq lists it as uncharacterized. NCBI's taxonomy places the organism in Eukaryota, Metazoa, Chordata, Lepidosauria, Squamata, Anolidae. The record is from RefSeq and is a predicted model, not a curated record. The transcript has 2 exons.